UUUAUGGAGAGUUUGAUCCUGGCUCAGGAUGAACGCUGGCGGCGUGCCUAAUACAUGCAAGUCGAGCGAACAGAUAAGGAGUUUGCUCUUUUGACGUUAGCGGCGGACGGGUGAGUAACACGUGGGUAACCUACCUAUAAGACUGGAAUAACUCCGGGAAACCGGGGCUAAUGCCGGAUAACAUGUU
This 187-nucleotide ribosomal RNA is filed under the name Staphylococcus pseudintermedius. RNAcentral describes it as "partial 16S ribosomal RNA". It matches the Rfam family "Bacterial small subunit ribosomal RNA", at positions 1 to 182 of the family's 1533-position model. The record is from RNAcentral. Lineage: Bacteria; Bacillati; Bacillota; Bacilli; Caryophanales; Staphylococcaceae.